RNAcentral lists this ribosomal RNA (487 nucleotides) under uncultured bacterium. RNAcentral describes it as "bacterial SSU rRNA". It matches the Rfam family "Bacterial small subunit ribosomal RNA", at positions 30 to 508 of the family's 1533-position model. The record is from RNAcentral.
AUUGAACGCUGGCGGCAUGCCUUACACAUGCAAGUCGAACGGUAACGGGCCUUCGGGUGCCGACGAGUGGCGAACGGGUGAGUAAUGCAUCGGAACGUACCUUUCAGUGGGGGAUAACGUAGCGAAAGUUACGCUAAUACCGCAUAUUCUGUGAGCAGGAAAGCAGGGGAUCGCAAGACCUUGCGCUGAUUGAGCGGCCGAUGUCAGAUUAGCUAGUUGGUGAGGUAAAGGCUCACCAAGGCGACGAUCUGUAGCGGGUCUGAGAGGAUGAUCCGCCACACUGGAACUGAGACACGGUCCAGACUCCUACGGGAGGCAGCAGUCGAGAAUAGUCUACAAUGGCCGGAAGGCUGAUAGUGCGACGCCGCGUGAACGAGGGAGCCCUUCGGGUGUAAAGUUCUUUUCUUAUACGAGCAGUGCUAUAUAUAUGGAUAGUAUAUAUAGAGGGAGUAGUAGUAUAGGAAUAAGACAACGGCUAACUCCGUCG